UAGGGAAUCUUCGGCAAUGGACGAAAGUCUGACCGAGCAACGCCGCGUGAGUGAAGAAGGUUUUCGGAUCGUAAAACUCUUUUGUUAGAGAAGAACAAGGACGGUAGUAACUGAACGUCCCCUGACGGUAUCUAACCAGAAAGCCACGGCUAACUACGUGCCAGCAGCCGCGGUAAUACGUAUUUGGCAAGCGUUGUCCGGAUUUAUUGGGCUUAAAGCGAGCGCAGGCGGUUGCUUAAGUCUGAUGUGAAAGCCCCCGGCUAAACCGGGGAGGGUCAUUGGAAACUGGGAGACUGGAGUGCAGAAGAGGAAGGUGGAAUUCCAUGUGUGGCGGUGAAAUGCGUAGAUAUAUGGAGGAACACCAGUGGCGAAGGAGGCUGUCUGGUCUGUAACUGACGCUGAGGGUCGAAAGCGUGGGGAGCAAACAGG
This 429-nucleotide ribosomal RNA is filed under the name Gemmatimonadota bacterium. Its description in RNAcentral is "Gemmatimonadetes bacterium partial 16S ribosomal RNA". It matches the Rfam family "Bacterial small subunit ribosomal RNA", at positions 355 to 776 of the family's 1533-position model. The record is from RNAcentral. Lineage: Bacteria; Pseudomonadati; Gemmatimonadota.